AAUGAACGCUGGCGGCAUGCCUAACACAUGCAAGUCGAACGAAGGCUUCGGCCUUAGUGGCGCACGGGUGCGUAACGCGUGGGAAUCUGCCCUUGGGUUCGGAAUAACAGUUAGAAAUGACUGCUAAUACCGGAUGAUGUCGUAAGACCAAAGAUUUAUCGCCCAAGGAUGAGCCCGCGUAGGAUUAGCUAGUUGGUGGGGUAAAGGCCUACCAAGGCGACGAUCCUUAGCUGGUCUGAGAAGAUGAUCAGCCACACUGGGACUGAGACACGGCCCAGACUCCUACGGGAGGCAGCAGUGGGGAAUAUUGGACAAUGGGCGAAAGCCUGAUCCAGCAAUGCCGCGUGAGUGAUGAAGGCCUUAGGGUUGUAAAGCUCUUUUACCCGGGAUGAUAAUGACAGUACCGGGAGAAUAAGCUCCGGCUAACUUCGUG
RNAcentral lists this ribosomal RNA (433 nucleotides) under uncultured bacterium. Its description in RNAcentral is "partial 16S ribosomal RNA". It matches the Rfam family "Bacterial small subunit ribosomal RNA", at positions 29 to 507 of the family's 1533-position model. The record is from RNAcentral.